This 1222-nucleotide long non-coding RNA is filed under the name Sus scrofa (pig). RNAcentral's name for it is "lncRNA (ENSSSCG00040028886.1)". Lineage: Eukaryota; Metazoa; Chordata; Mammalia; Artiodactyla; Suidae. The record is from RNAcentral.
UCCCUGACACUAGACGCCACCCUCUUCAACGACCGCCCGCCCGAAAGGAGAAAAGAAAGAGACAACGCCACACAUGAAACCCCUCGACACACGGCCCCAAAGCCACAAGGAAGGGAAUGAAAAGGAACGCUGAGCAUCAGAAAGAGCGACACAAGCAUGUGCAGGAAACCCGGACCUUCCGUGGGAGAUGUGCUGGCUCAGGGCUAUCGUUUCCCAAACCGAUGGUCACCCAUGAGAGGUGUGGGCUCGGAUGGAAAAUCCCCAACUACAAGUCUGUCCUGAGGUGAACCCAGCAGGCAGGUCAACGGCAAAACCACGCUUUGGCACCGAGGGCGUGGGGUCUGUUAUUGCAGCAAGUAUGUUUCUGAUGCAAAUUCCCUGAUGACCCAGCAAAUUGUUUAUCUAACUUAAACGUAACUGUUUCCCCAAAGUCGGUCAACCUGCGGCGUUAUUCCUUCCAGGUGUAGGCUCUGUCACCUCCUCCCCACAGGAAAAGCUGCAGCCUCUCCUCUGCUGGGAGACUUAAGGCGCCUGGGGGGUAGGAAUUCAGUGAGAAGGGGUGAUUUAUAAUAGAUCUGAAUGCUGAUCUGCACCAAUAACAAGCCGGGGGUGGGGUGGGGUGGGGGUGAAGGGGCCAGGGUUGAUUUAGUGAUCCCCUCGCAUGGAAGGAGGACCUUAUGACAAACAACUGCCUCGGUCACAGGAGUCAAAGCAGUUAUGGCCUGGAGCCAGCAGGGCAUUCUUUUCUCAUGUAUAAACAACAUUUAUCAUUUCAUCUCGAAAAAUAUUUGCCCUUAAUAUUUGGUAGAGACGCACGCAAAGGCUGCCUCUGGUCCUCCCACUAAUACCCCCCUAGAGCCAAGUGGUUGGGAUGUUUUUUAGCACAGACCAUACAUAAUAGCAUCUCUACCCAAAGCAACUUAUCCACUGAGAAUAUCAGCAAAAAGAGUUGGGUGGGUUUAGGUUGGAGGAGGAAGCCAUCUUCGUUUUCAAAAAAAAAAAAAAAUAGAUACAGUUAAGGUAAAUUUUAUGGGUAAUUAGAAUGAGGUUGAAUCUCAACUUUACUGAGAUCAAAUUCACAUGCCAUCAAAUUCACCCAUUUCAAGUACAAUUCAAUGGUCUUUAGUAUAUUCACAUUUACCACUGGUAUUCCGUAUAUUCACAUGCAACUGUGAAACCAUCACUACAGUUUGUAAUUUUAGAACCUUUCUGUUCCCUCCCC